Molecule: long non-coding RNA, 304 nt
Organism: Zingiber officinale
Lineage: Eukaryota; Viridiplantae; Streptophyta; Magnoliopsida; Zingiberales; Zingiberaceae
Exons: 4
Source: RefSeq, a predicted model, not a curated record
UGGUCAAAUCGUAGCCAAUUCAAAAGCUCACAUGGCUAAGGUAGUAUUGAAGGAACACUUGGUUCUAACUUUGUUUAGAGAUGAGUAUGAUCUAUUACAUGAAGAUUAUCAGCUUUAUCUUCUUCCAAGCAUUUUGGAAUCCAAAAAGUUAGCUAAAUCUGGACGAGCGAAACAAAAGUAUGUAGAUUUGGAAUAUAAUGUGGCAAAACAAGUUGAGAAGAUGAUAAGGAAUUUUUAUAAUUGAAAGGGAAUGCUCAUUACACGCAAUGGAGUAUGAAGAAGAGUUGUCUGUCAUUAAUUCUCA